Molecule: long non-coding RNA, 2629 nt
Organism: Dermochelys coriacea (leatherback sea turtle)
Lineage: Eukaryota; Metazoa; Chordata; Testudines; Dermochelyidae
Exons: 2
Source: RefSeq, a predicted model, not a curated record
UUCUGUGGCCUGCGCUGUGCAGGAGGUCGGACUAGAUGAUCAGAAUGGUCCCUUCUGACCUUAGUAUCGGUGAAUCACUGCCAUAUCUGAGUGUCCUUAGCCCUAGUUACAAAUACAUAAAUAAACAUGGGCAACUUUUAUUUAUUUAAUUAGCAAUGGAGUCGCCUUGAGCGGCUGCAACAGGGUCAGGCCCCACGGUGCUAGGCACUGGAUAGUGGUAAAGUAAGAGACAGACCUUGCCUCUGAAGGAUUACAGACACAUUUCAGUAAAACAUGACAGUAUUUGUAUUUAUUUAUUCUCUUUUUUUGUGUAUGAAUUUAGUAGAGGUGAAAUGUGCCAAACUGACAUUCUGGAGAGAAGGGUGCUCAGUUUGUCUAGAUUCUGGAGCACAGGCUCUGUACUAACAGAGCAAAGCUCCAGACUUGGGCAUGUAAAUGUGCUAGGUGUCGUUUUGUUUCCUUAUUUAUUUAAUCCUUGGCUUUUUUUCUAAAGGCUGCAAACAAGGUGCCAGGCGAGAUGGUAGUUUGUCCGUUAAUGAGUUUGUCCCUUAAUAAGUCUGCUGGGAAAUGACUAUGACCAGCAAAUUUGUUUCCCAUAAAUAGCUACAGUAUUCUAGAACAAUGAUCCAUAAUCACACAGUUUAUGAUAAGGAUGAUGGUGUUGGGACUAUCAAUACAACUCUAGUACUUUUUGUAAGGGUGAGAAUUUUAUAAAGCAUGAAACCAGUUUUGUGAGGCUGUAAUAAGAGAGUUUGGAGCUCCAGAACCAUAGAAGUCUAUAUUAUAACUCAGCUGUUGCUAUUCGGGACACUGGCAUAUUAGAAAUAUUAUGAAAGACUGGCGUCUACUGUAUUAACGAAGCCCCUGGUUUGAAAUGCACUAUAAAAUUAUGGAAAACUGUUCAGUAACAUAAUUUUAAAAGCUGAAUAUUUCAGUAAGAAAUGUGUUCCACACUUCAAUUUAAUAAUGUUUGUUACAAAUCAUUAUAGAGCUUAAAAAACCCUUUUAUUAAAGCAAAGGCACAUUGGCUGGGUCCUACAUCUAAACAGAGCCAUUUCCGGUUCUGUUCCCUCAUGUGUGCACAUCUUUGUUGUGAUCCCAACGCAACCCACUAAAUACACAAGUCUAACUGCUUCCUUUGUUGUUCCCUAUUACAGUGAUGUAUUUAAUGUUUGCAUGUGUGUAUUUGUGAAUGGUAUCGGAUGCAACACAAUCUUUUUCACAAGGCUAGUGUUGUGGUGUUCUUUUGAAAAUGUCUGUCCCACAGUUUCUCCGAUUUCACUUUACUGGUCAGGAGUUCAAACAUAUUACUGCUGUUUUACAACAGCAUUAGGAAUUAGUACUGUAGCACCUAGGAGUUCUGCUCAGGGACAAAGACUGUAUUAUGCUGGGUGCUGUACAAAAACAAAACAAAAACACAGUCCCUGUUCCAAAGAGCUAUGUGUCCUUGUGUAAGAUUCUCAUAGACCAAUAUGAAACAUAAAGGGACAGAGUCUUCUCAGUUUCACGUGGGCAACCUAAUGUAACUGUAACAUUCUCUCUCCAGUAACACAGAGCUCCUUUAGUCGUUAUCCUGUAACCACAUGCGUACAUAUAACUAACCAGACAUCUGUAUUUAUAUUCUGUAUGGCUCAUCCGAGCAUUAUUUAAAAUUAUUUUAUUUUCACAGGACCAAAACUGCUGCGUACUUUACUGACAGACUAAGGCAGGUUCCUGCCCCCAAAAGAUUAUAAACCAAGGCCACACUUCUGCAAACUGUUGGGUGUGGGCAAAUCCCUGCAAUCAUAUGAAGUCCUGUGUUAUUGGGGUUCCAUGCAGGUAUAAGGAUUGUCCACGUACAUCAGCCUCCAGGAUCAAAGCCAGCAUGGACAGCAUACCAAGGAGGGGGGGAAAGGAAGCAAAUAGGCGGAAACAGAUGAGAGGGAGGAAAGAAUCUGCAGAAUAGUUGUGAGGUUGUUGGACCAGUUCAGUACACAGCAUGUUUGCACCUAAAUUUGUAUUCUCUUGUAACAUGUUGUGCAGUUGAAGGCACUUGUGUGGGACACACAAUCAGGGAAACUACUAUAAAGGGGCAAACCUCAGGGAACUGAUUUUUUGGCUCUUAAAUGGAACAAACAUCCUGCCACUGUUGUGGAAUCGGUGUAAUAGCUCAGUUGAUGUUGGGAUGGCUUUUGGCCUUAUUGUCCUGUUGGUUACAAUUAGAGGUAUUCAUAGGCAGUUAAAGGUCAGCAAAUGCUCACAGCUAGUGCUCUCUGCCUGCCUUGCAACAUGGCAAGCAAAAUAUGGCCUUGAACUUGUCGGUUGUAAUUAUAGACUUCAACAGGUGGUUAAAGGUUGUAAAUGCUUCAGUUAAAUUGACUAAAUUGCAAAGCCAAAGCUAAAAUUUUAAAUAAUGUGUAAGUAAACUCAGUUUAAAAAAGAAUAUUACUUAAUUGGGAUAAACUGGGAUCUGUCAAAACAUCUUGACUAAGCUCCUUCUACAUACAAUUAAGUGUGUCCCAUUUUCAAAAACAGUUCCUCUUCAGCUUAUCGUUAAUAAGAGCUGUGUGUUCCUUCCUAAACUUGAUCCUACCAUGAAGUGAUCACUUAAUAAAAUAUUCAGAGUGGAUUUAUGAACUUGUUCACUCAA